AACCAUUCUCACCUGCGGCUAGACCUGCGGAGGGAUCAUUACCAGAGAGCCUUUUGGCACUCCAACCCAUUGUGAACAUACCUAUCGUUCCCUCGGCGGGCUCAGCGCGCGGGGCCUCCGGGCUUCCGGGCGUCCGCCGGGGACAACCAAACCCUGAUUUACUACGUGUAUCUCUGAGGGGCGAAAGCCCGAAAACAAAAUAAAUCAAAACUUUUAACAACGGAUCUCAGAUCGGAAGAG
Molecule: unclassified non-coding RNA, 240 nt
Filed under: soil metagenome
Description: partial contains 5.8S ribosomal RNA, internal transcribed spacer 2, and large subunit ribosomal RNA
Source: RNAcentral